Molecule: ribosomal RNA, 484 nt
Filed under: uncultured bacterium
Lineage: Bacteria
Description: partial 16S ribosomal RNA
Rfam family: Bacterial small subunit ribosomal RNA
Source: RNAcentral
AUUGAACGCUGGCGGCAGGCCUAACACAUGCAAGUCGAGCGGAUGAAUGGAGCUUUCUCCUGGAUUCAGCGGCGGACGGGUGAGUAAUGCCUAGGAAUCUGCCUUGUAGUGGGGGAUAACGUCCGGAAACGGGCGCUAAUACCGCAUACGUCCUGAUGGAGAAAGUGGGGGAUCUUCGGACCUCACGCUAUCAGAUGAGCCUAGGUCGGAUUAGCUAGUUGGUUGGGUAAAGGCCUACCAAGGCGACGAUCCGUAACUGGUCUGAGAGGAUGAUCAGUCACACUGGAACUGAGACACGGUCCAGACUCCUACGGGAGGCAGCAGUGGGGAAUAUUGGACAAUGGGCGAAAGCCUGAUGCAGCAAUGCCGCGUGUGUGAAGAAGGUCUUCGGAUUGUAAAGCACUUUAAGUUGGGAGGAAGGGCAGUAAGUUAAUACCUUGCUGUUUUGACGUUACCAACAGAAUAAGCACCGGCUAACUUCGUG